AGGAUUAACGCUGGCGGCGUGCAUGAAACAUGCAAGUCGAGCGCGGUGUGAUGCGGGGUAACCCAAUUCACAUCUAGCGGCGAACGGGUGAGUAACACGUGAGCAACCUACCUUUGAGUUGGGGAUAGCCCUGGGAAACCAGGAUUAAUACCCGAUGUGGUCACAACAGGACAUCCUGAUGUGAGUAAAGGCGCAAGCCGCUCAAUGACGGGCUCGCGGCCUAUUAGCUUGUUGGUGGGGUAACGGCCUACCAAGGCGAUGAUCGGUAGCUGGUCUGAGAGGAUGACCAGCCAGACUGGGACUGAGAACGGCCCAGACUCCUACGGGAGGCAGCAGUAGGGAAUUUUCCACAAUGGGCGAAAGCCUGAUGGAGCAACGCCGCGUGCAGGAUGAAGGCCUUCGGGUCGUAAACUGCUUUUCUCUGUGAAGAUUAUGACGGUAACAGAAGAAUAAGGAUCUGCUAACUACGUGCCAGCAGCCG
This 481-nucleotide ribosomal RNA is filed under the name uncultured bacterium. RNAcentral's name for it is "SSU rRNA". It matches the Rfam family "Bacterial small subunit ribosomal RNA", at positions 26 to 517 of the family's 1533-position model. The record is from RNAcentral.